GAUGAACGCUGGCGACGUGCCUAAUACAUGCAAGUAGAACGCUGAAGCUUGGUGCUUGCCCCGAGCGGAUGAGUUGCGAACGGGUGAGUAACGCGUAGGUAACCUGCCUCUUAGCGGGGGAUAACUAUUGGAAACGAUAGCUAAUACCGCAUAAAAGUCGAUAUCGCAUGAUAUUGAUUUGAAAGGUGCAAUUGCAUCACUAAGAGAUGGACCUGCGUUGUAUUAGCUAGUUGGUGAGGUAACGGCUCACCAAGGCGACGAUACAUAGCCGACCUGAGAGGGUGAUCGGCCACACUGGGACUGAGACACGGCCCAGACUCCUACGGGAGGCAGCAGUAGGGAAUCUUCGGCAAUGGGGGCAACCCUGACCGAGCAACGCCGCGUGAGUGAAGAAGGUUUUCGGAUCGUAAAGCUCUGUUGUAAGAGAAGAACGAGUGUGAGAGUGGAAAGUUCACACUGUGACGGUAACUUACCAGAAAGGGACGGCUAACUACGUG
This 497-nucleotide ribosomal RNA is filed under the name uncultured bacterium. RNAcentral describes it as "partial 16S ribosomal RNA". It matches the Rfam family "Bacterial small subunit ribosomal RNA", at positions 28 to 507 of the family's 1533-position model. The record is from RNAcentral.